This is a non-coding RNA of Suillus lakei, 86 nucleotides long. The record is from the annotation of a GenBank genome assembly. NCBI's taxonomy places the organism in Eukaryota, Fungi, Basidiomycota, Agaricomycetes, Boletales, Suillaceae.
GGGCAUACGGUGUAGCUGGUUAUCACAUCCGCUUAGCAUGUUGCUUGGGUUGCGGGGGGUCUCCGGUUCGAGUCCGGAUUUGUCCA